UUAAGCGACUAAGCGUACACGGUGGAUGCCCUGGCAGUCAGAGGCGAUGAAGGACGUGCUAAUCUGCGAUAAGCGUCGGUAAGGUGAUAUGAACCGUUAUAACCGGCGAUUUCCGAAUGGGGAAACCCAGUGUGAUUCGUCACACUAUCAUUAACUGAAUCCAUAGGUUAAUGAGGCGAACCGGGGGAACUGAAACAUCUAAGUACCCCGAGGAAAAGAAAUCAACCGAGAUUCCCCCAGUAGCGGCGAGCGAACGGGGAGCAGCCCAGAGCCUGAAUCAGUGUGUGUGUUAGUGGAAGCGUCUGGAAAGGCGCGCGAUACAGGGUGACAGCCCCGUACACAAAAAUGCACAUACUGUGAGCUCGAUGAGUAGGGCGGGACACGUGGUAUCCUGUCUGAAUAUGGGGGGACCAUCCUCCAAGGCUAAAUACUCCUGACUGACCGAUAGUGAACCAGUACCGUGAGGGAAAGGCGAAAAGAACCCCGGCGAGGGGAGUGAAAAAGAACCUGAAACCGUGUACGUACAAGCAGUGGGAGCACGCUUCGGCGUGUGACUGCGUACCUUUUGUAUAAUGGGUCAGCGACUUAUAUUCUGUAGCAAGGUUAACCGAAUAGGGGAGCCGAAGGGAAACCGAGUCUUAACUGGGCGUUAAGUUGCAGGGUAUAGACCCGAAACCCGGUGAUCUAGCCAUGGGCAGGUUGAAGGUUGGGUAACACUAACUGGAGGACCGAACCGACUAAUGUUGAAAAAUUAGCGGAUGACUUGUGGCUGGGGGUGAAAGGCCAAUCAAACCGGGAGAUAGCUGGUUCUCCCCGAAAGCUAUUUAGGUAGCGCCUCGUGAAUUCAUCUCCGGGGGUAGAGCACUGUUUCGGCAAGGGGGUCAUCCCGACUUACCAACCCGAUGCAAACUGCGAAUACCGGAGAAUGUUAUCACGGGAGACACACGGCGGGUGCUAACGUCCGUCGUGAAGAGGGAAACAACCCAGACCGCCAGCUAAGGUCCCAAAGUCAUGGUUAAGUGGGAAACGAUGUGGGAAGGCCCAGACAGCCAGGAUGUUGGCUUAGAAGCAGCCAUCAUUUAAAGAAAGCGUAAUAGCUCACUGGUCGAGUCGGCCUGCGCGGAAGAUGUAACGGGGCUAAACCAUGCACCGAAGCUGCGGCAGCGACACUAUGUGUUGUUGGGUAGGGGAGCGUUCUGUAAGCCUGUGAAGGUGUACUGUGAGGUAUGCUGGAGGUAUCAGAAGUGCGAAUGCUGACAUAAGUAACGAUAAAGCGGGUGAAAAGCCCGCUCGCCGGAAGACCAAGGGUUCCUGUCCAACGUUAAUCGGGGCAGGGUGAGUCGACCCCUAAGGCGAGGCCGAAAGGCGUAGUCGAUGGGAAACAGGUUAAUAUUCCUGUACUUGGUGUUACUGCGAAGGGGGGACGGAGAAGGCUAUGUUGGCCGGGCGACGGUUGUCCCGGUUUAAGCGUGUAGGCUGGUUUUCCAGGCAAAUCCGGAAAACUAAGGCUGAGGCGUGAUGACGAGGCACUACGGUGCUGAAGCAACAAAUGCCCUGCUUCCAGGAAAAGCCUCUAAGCAUCAGGUAACAUCAAAUCGUACCCCAAACCGACACAGGUGGUCAGGUAGAGAAUACCAAGGCGCUUGAGAGAACUCGGGUGAAGGAACUAGGCAAAAUGGUGCCGUAACUUCGGGAGAAGGCACGCUGAUAUGUAGGUGAAGCGACUUGCUCGUGGAGCUGAAAUCAGUCGAAGAUACCAGCUGGCUGCAACUGUUUAUUAAAAACACAGCACUGUGCAAACACGAAAGUGGACGUAUACGGUGUGACGCCUGCCCGGUGCCGGAAGGUUAAUUGAUGGGGUCAGCGCAAGCGAAGCUCUUGAUCGAAGCCCCGGUAAACGGCGGCCGUAACUAUAACGGUCCUAAGGUAGCGAAAUUCCUUGUCGGGUAAGUUCCGACCUGCACGAAUGGCGUAAUGAUGGCCAGGCUGUCUCCACCCGAGACUCAGUGAAAUUGAACUCGCUGUGAAGAUGCAGUGUACCCGCGGCAAGACGGAAAGACCCCGUGAACCUUUACUAUAGCUUGACACUGAACAUUGAGCCUUGAUGUGUAGGAUAGGUGGGAGGCUUUGAAGUGUGGACGCCAGUCUGCAUGGAGCCGACCUUGAAAUACCACCCUUUAAUGUUUGAUGUUCUAACGUUGACCCGUGAUCCGGGUUGCGGACAGUGUCUGGUGGGUAGUUUGACUGGGGCGGUCUCCUCCUAAAGAGUAACGGAGGAGCACGAAGGUUGGCUAAUCCUGGUCGGACAUCAGGAGGUUAGUGCAAUGGCAUAAGCCAGCUUGACUGCGAGCGUGACGGCGCGAGCAGGUGCGAAAGCAGGUCAUAGUGAUCCGGUGGUUCUGAAUGGAAGGGCCAUCGCUCAACGGAUAAAAGGUACUCCGGGGAUAACAGGCUGAUACCGCCCAAGAGUUCAUAUCGACGGCGGUGUUUGGCACCUCGAUGUCGGCUCAUCACAUCCUGGGGCUGAAGUAGGUCCCAAGGGUAUGGCUGUUCGCCAUUUAAAGUGGUACGCGAGCUGGGUUUAGAACGUCGUGAGACAGUUCGGUCCCUAUCUGCCGUGGGCGCUGGAGAACUGAGGGGGGCUGCUCCUAGUACGAGAGGACCGGAGUGGACGCAUCACUGGUGUUCGGGUUGUCAUGCCAAUGGCACUGCCCGGUAGCUAAAUGCGGAAGAGAUAAGUGCUGAAAGCAUCUAAGCACGAAACUUGCCCCGAGAUGAGUUCUCCCUGACUCCUUGAGAGUCCUGAAGGAACGUUGAAGACGACGACGUUGAUAGGCCGGGUGUGUAAGCGCAGCGAUGCGUUGAGCUAACCGGUACUAAUGAACCGUGAGGCUUAACCUU
Molecule: ribosomal RNA, 2901 nt
Filed under: Escherichia coli UMEA 3033-1
Lineage: Bacteria; Pseudomonadati; Pseudomonadota; Gammaproteobacteria; Enterobacterales; Enterobacteriaceae
Description: bacterial LSU rRNA
Rfam family: Bacterial large subunit ribosomal RNA
Source: RNAcentral